UAGGGAAUAUUAGUAAUGGGCGAAAGCCUGAACUAGCAACACCGCGUGUGCGAAGAAGGCCUUCGGGUUGUAAAGCGCUUUUUAAGGGGAUGAGGAAGGACAGUACUCUUAGAAUAAGCCUCGGCUAACUACGUGCCAGCAGCCGCGGUAAAACGUAGGAGGCGAGCGUUAUCCGGAUUUACUGGGCGUAAAGCGUGUGUAGGCGGUUUGAUAAGUUGGAUGUGAAAGCUCCCGGCUCAACUGGGAGAGGUCGUUCAAAACUAUCAGACUUGAGAGUGGUAGAGGGAGGUGGAAUUCCGCGUGUAGUGGUGAAAUGCGUAGAUAUGCGGAGGAACACCAGUGGCGAAAGCGGCCUCCUGGCCCAUUUCUGACGCUCAGACACGAAAGCUAAGGUAGCAAACG
This 402-nucleotide ribosomal RNA is filed under the name uncultured prokaryote. RNAcentral's name for it is "bacterial SSU rRNA". It matches the Rfam family "Bacterial small subunit ribosomal RNA", at positions 355 to 774 of the family's 1533-position model. The record is from RNAcentral.